This 1491-nucleotide ribosomal RNA is filed under the name uncultured prokaryote. Its description in RNAcentral is "partial 16S ribosomal RNA". It matches the Rfam family "Bacterial small subunit ribosomal RNA". The record is from RNAcentral.
AGAGUUUGAUCAUGGCUCAGGAUGAACGCUAGCGGCAGGCUUAACACAUGCAAGUCGAGGGGUAACGGGAGUGCUUGCACUCGCCGACGACCGGCGCACGGGUGCGUAACGCGUAUACAAUCUACCCUUUACUGGGGAAUAGCCCAGAGAAAUUUGGAUUAAUGCCCCAUAGUACAUAUAUAUGGCAUCAUAUUUAUGUUAAAGGCUACGGUAAAGGAUGAGUAUGCGUACCAUUAGUUAGUUGGUAAGGUAACGGCUUACCAAGACCGCGAUGGUUAGGGGCCCUGAGAGGGGGAUCCCCCACACUGGUACUGAGACACGGACCAGACUCCUACGGGAGGCAGCAGUGAGGAAUAUUGGACAAUGGGCGAGAGCCUGAUCCAGCCAUGCCGCGUGUAGGAAGACUGCCCUAUGGGUUGUAAACUACUUUUACAUGGGAAGAAUAAGGGUCACGUGUGGCCUUAUGACGGUACCAUGAGAAUAAGGACCGGCUAACUCCGUGCCAGCAGCCGCGGUAAUACGGAGGGUCCGAGCGUUAUCCGGAAUUAUUGGGUUUAAAGGGUCCGUAGGCGGGCCGUUAAGUCAGGGGUGAAAGUUUGUGGCCCAACCAUAAAAUUGCCUUUGAUACUGACGGUCUUGAGUUAUAGUGAAGUUGCCGGAAUAUGUAGUGUAGCGGUGAAAUGCAUAGAUAUUACAUAGAACACCGAUUGCGAAGGCAGGUGACUAACUAUAUACUGACGCUGAUGGACGAAAGCGUGGGGAGCGAACAGGAUUAGAUCCCCUGGUAGUCCACGCCGUAAACGAUGGAUACUAGCUGUCGGCUUUAAGUCCUGGGCGGCCAAGCGAAAGUGAUAAGUAUCCCACCUGGGGAGUACGUUCGCAAGAAUGAAACUCAAAGGAAUUGACGGGGGCCCGCACAAGCGGUGGAGCAUGUGGUUUAAUUCGAUGAUACGCGAGGAACCUUACCAGGGCUUAAAUGUAGAUUGACAGGGCUAGAGCAGCUUUAGAGAUAGAGUUUUCUUCGGACAGAUCACAAGGUGCUGCAUGGUUGUCGUCAGCUCGUGCCGUGAGGUGUCAGGUUAAGUCCUAUAACGAGCGCAACCCCUGUUGUUAGUUGCCAGCACAUAAUGGUGGGGACUCUAACAAGACUGCCGGUGCAAACCGUGAGGAAGGUGGGGAUGACGUCAAAUCAUCACGGCCCUUACGUCCUGGGCUACACACGUGCUACAAUGGCCGGUACAGCGGGCAGCCACUGCGCAAGCAGGAGCGAAUCCACAAAACCGGUCACAGUUCGGAUCGGGGUCUGCAACUCGACCCCGUGAAGCUGGAAUCGCUAGUAAUCGGAUAUCAGCCAUGAUCCGGUGAAUACGUUCCCGGGCCUUGUACACACCGCCCGUCAAGCCAUGGAAGCCGGGAGUGCCUGAAGUCCGUCACCGUAAGGAGCGGCCUAGGGCAAAAUUGGUAACUAGGGCUAAGUCGUAACAAGGUAAC